UACGGAGGGUGCAAGCGUUGUUCGGAAUUAUUGGGCGUAAAGCGCGUGUAGGCGGUUUGGUAAGUCUGAUGUGAAAGCCCUGGGCUCAACCCAGGAAGUGCAUUGGAUACUGUCAGACUUGAGUACGGGAGAGGGUAGUGGAAUUCCCAGUGUAGGAGUGAAAUCCGUAGAUAUUGGGAGGAACACCGGUGGCGAAGGCGGCUACCUGGACCGAUACUGACGCUGAGACGCGAAAGCGUGGGGAGCAAACAGG
RNAcentral lists this ribosomal RNA (253 nucleotides) under uncultured bacterium. RNAcentral describes it as "partial 16S ribosomal RNA". It matches the Rfam family "Bacterial small subunit ribosomal RNA", at positions 524 to 776 of the family's 1533-position model. The record is from RNAcentral.